This 75-nucleotide transfer RNA is filed under the name Thermoplasmatales archaeon. Its description in RNAcentral is "tRNA-Arg". It matches the Rfam family "tRNA". From Rfam's summary of the family: Transfer RNA (tRNA) molecules are approximately 80 nucleotides in length. Lineage: Archaea; Methanobacteriati; Thermoplasmatota; Thermoplasmata; Thermoplasmatales. RNAcentral also lists the same sequence under 1 other name. The record is from RNAcentral.
GGGCCCGUAGCCUAGCCAGGAUUGGGCGGCAGCCUUCGGAGUUGCAGACCGUGGGUUCAAAUCCCACCGGGCCCG